GCACCGCUUCGAAAAAACCUUCUGCAAACGUUCAACCCCGUUUUCCCUGUUCAAUUUCCCCCAGACCUCUAACAUUGUGAAUUAAUUUCUAUAAACUCAACUACAUUCGCCUUCUUUGUCUAUUUCUUAUUUGGGGUAAACGAAAAAAAUAAAGAAGUUAUCGAUAUGCUUACACAAAUUCUAUUUCCUUCGACGCCAAUGAAGACAUCCGAAGAACACCAUCACUCGACCACUGUUUCAGGUAUUCGCUCCAUAAUUGCUGGUAUGUAAUCCUUUCACAGUUUAGUAUUUAUCAUUUAUGUCUUAUUCUUAUAUAUUUCACUCUUACUAACUUGUAUGAACCCUAAUCUAAUUGUAUAGGUACGGAUAAACAAGUAUGCAAAAACACAAAACAAAAGU
RNAcentral lists this long non-coding RNA (399 nucleotides) under Nicotiana tabacum (common tobacco). RNAcentral describes it as "long non-coding RNA (NTAB_LNC001806)". The record is from RNAcentral. Lineage: Eukaryota; Viridiplantae; Streptophyta; Magnoliopsida; Solanales; Solanaceae.